Molecule: ribosomal RNA, 446 nt
Filed under: uncultured bacterium
Lineage: Bacteria
Description: bacterial SSU rRNA
Rfam family: Bacterial small subunit ribosomal RNA
Source: RNAcentral
AACGGAACUCUUUGGAAUCAAGGCUUCGGCCAAGUGAAUUUGAGUUUAGUGGCGGACGGGUGAGUAACGCGUGAGGAACCUGCCUUUCAGAGGGGGACAACAGUUGGAAACGACUGCUAAUACCGCAUAACAUUAAGUUUGGACAUCCUUACUUAAUCAAAGGAGCAAUCCGCUGAAAGAUGGGCUCGCGUCCGAUUAGAUAGUUGGCGGGGUAACGGCCCACCAAGUCGACGAUCGGUAGCCGGACUGAGAGGUUGAUCGGCCACAUUGGGACUGAGACACGGCCCAGACUCCUACGGGAGGCAGCAGUGGGGGAUAUUGCACAAUGGCGAAAGCCUGAUGCAGCAACGCCGCGUGAGGGAAGAAGGUCUUCGGAUUGUAAACCUUUGUCCUAAGUGAAGAAACAAAUGACGGUAGCUUAGGAGGAAGCCACGGCUAACUACGUG